This 481-nucleotide ribosomal RNA is filed under the name uncultured bacterium. RNAcentral describes it as "bacterial SSU rRNA". It matches the Rfam family "Bacterial small subunit ribosomal RNA", at positions 31 to 507 of the family's 1533-position model. The record is from RNAcentral.
GAACGCUGGCGGCAUGCCUUACACAUGCAAGCCGAACGGCAGCACGGGAGCAAUCCUGGUGGCGAGUGGCGAACGGGUGAGUAAUAUAUCGGAACGUGCCCAGUCGUGGGGGAUAACGUAGCGAAAGCUACGCUAAUACCGCAUACGAUCUACGGAUGAAAGCGGGGGAUCGCAAGACCUCGCGCGAUUGGAGCGGCCGAUAUCAGAUUAGGUAGUUGGUGAGGUAAAGGCUCACCAAGCCGACGAUCUGUAGCUGGUCUGAGAGGACGACCAGCCACACUGGGACUGAGACACGGCCCAGACUCCUACGGGAGGCAGCAGUGGGGAAUUUUGGACAAUGGGCGCAAGCCUGAUCCAGCAAUGCCGCGUGCAGGAUGAAGGCCUUCGGGUUGUAAACUGCUUUUGUACGGAACGAAACGGUGAGCUCUAAUACAGUUUGCUAAUGACGGUACCGUAAGAAUAAGCACCGGCUAACUACGUG